AGAGUUUGAUCCUGGCUCAGGAUGAACGCUGGCGGCGUGCUUAACACAUGCAAGUCGAACGGGAAACCUUUUAUUGAAGCUUCGGCAGAUUUAGAUUGUUUCUAGUGGCGGACGGGUGAGUAACGCGUGGGUAACCUGCCUUAUACAGGGGGAUAACAGUCAGAAAUGACUGCUAAUACCGCAUAAGCGCACAGAGCUGCAUGGCUCAGCGUGAAAAACUCCGGUGGUAUAAGAUGGACCCGCGUUGGAUUAGCUGGUUGGUGAGGUAACGGCCCACCAAGGCGACGAUCCAUAGCCGGCCUGAGAGGGUGAACGGCCACAUUGGGACUGAGACACGGCCCAGACUCCUACGGGAGGCAGCAGUGGGGAAUAUUGCACAAUGGGGGAAACCCUGAUGCAGCGACGCCGCGUGAAGGAAGAAGUAUCUCGGUAUGUAAACUUCUAUCAGCAGGGAAGAAUUAGGACGGUACCUGACUAAGAAGCCCCGGCUAACUACGUGCCAGCAGCCGCGGUAAUACGUAGGGGGCAAGCGUUAUCCGGAUUUACUGGGUGUAAAGGGAGCGUAGACGGAUGGACAAGUCUGAUGUGAAAGGCUGGGGGCUCAACCCCGGGACUGCAUUGGAAACUGCCCGUCUUGAGUGCCGGAGAGGUAAGCGGAAUUCCUAGUGUAGCGGUGAAAUGCGUAGAUAUCAGGAGGAACACCAGUGGCGAAGGCGGCUUACUGGACGGUAACUGACGUUGAGGCUCGAAAGCGUGGGGAGCAAACAGAAAGAGAUACCCUGGUAGUCCACGCGGUAAACGA
Molecule: ribosomal RNA, 802 nt
Filed under: uncultured bacterium
Lineage: Bacteria
Description: bacterial SSU rRNA
Rfam family: Bacterial small subunit ribosomal RNA
Source: RNAcentral